Molecule: long non-coding RNA, 2264 nt
Organism: Oreochromis aureus
Lineage: Eukaryota; Metazoa; Chordata; Actinopteri; Cichliformes; Cichlidae
Source: Ensembl
UCGUGGUUUUUGUAUUAUUGUACUUGUGUUAUUCUAUGGUUUCUAGUUUUGAUCCCUUGCCCUUCAUGUUUCUGUGUCCCCUCGGUUCUGUGUAAGUCUGUGUCUUUGCAUGUUUGAGUUUUGUUGUUUUCUGUCACUCUGUAUUGUGAAUUAUGUUCUCAUGGUUGGUCUUUUGUUACUCUCUCGAGUCUAGUUUCUUGUGUUCCAAGCUUAGUAUUUCCCUCUGUGUAUUUUGGUUCUUAGACCUCUGCCUUAUGGUUUAUGUCUCUGUGUUUCUUAGUUGCUGUCUUCACUGUGCCAAGUUCGUGUCUCUGUGUCAUACUUCCUGUUAUACUUUGAAGGUCCAUGUCUUAUGUGAAUGUGUCCUGCUUUGCUUCCUUGUCUCGUCAGUCCUGAUUUCUCCCAGCUGUGCCCUCCUUCUGUGUCUCAUUCCCCUCGUUACUUCCCAGUGUAUUUAAACCCUGUGUUUUUCUGAGUCAGUGUCGUGUUGUCCCUCAAGUUGUGUGUUUCCUUGUGUGCCUCUCUGCAAAGUGUAAGUUUAUAUUCUUCCCAGUUUAGUUUUGUUUGCUUUCCCCUGUCAACAAAUAAAGCUGAGUUUUUUGAGUUCAUCCCUCGAGUCUGAGUACCUGCAUCUGGGGUCCAACGCCUGCCUGCCACACAGCGAUUCUUGACAGAACGACGCGACCAGACAUGGACUCAGCAGGCUCCUCCCGGGAAAGCGAUUUGGCCCGCAUCUUCAGUCUGUGGAAGCGAGUUUCCCACGCCUCGGACACUAAAACAAUGUCCAUUGGGAUAAAUGCCAUCGAGGCAAUUCUCAAGGGGAAUCCCCAUCUUCGCGAGCUCUCAGGAUUUUUGGGCCUACUUUCCAAUCUGCAUAAAGCCAAGGAGGCGGUACGAGCUUGCCGUGCCGCAGCAACAGUCGCUAAUGGAGCUCGUCAUACCGCAACAGCGACCGCCACAAUUGGAAAACAUUUCCAUGCCGCUGCCACAGAACUCCUCUCCAUCCACCCUCCGCUCUGACUGUCACUCACCCGCUGCUUUUCUCGCAGCAAUGUGGUCGGAGGAUGAGGAGCCGACCGUGACCUCUCCGUCGUUGCCAGUUUCCUCCAUCCCUGCACCUCCUGCUUCCCGAAGAAAACAGCGUUCACUCCGCCGACACCCACCGCCACAGCCGGACCCCAAGACUUCUGAGCUGCCGGCUGUGGUGAGUGGAAGAGACAAUCAAGAGUUUCCUGACUUGGGGACUGUUUAUUCUGUUUAUUCCGGGGCUUUGUUUUUUCUGUCAGCUGCCCAGCCUGAAGCUCUGUCAGCUGCCCAGCCUGAAGCUCUAUAUUCAACCUAUAGCCCUGCCAUUAAUGCACUCUGUAGCUUAGCCACUAGCCGCCCAGCCCGCAAGCUGGGCGGCUAAUGGCUAAGCUGAUACUGUCAAAGGAGGUAACACCUCAAAUCUGAUGGAACACCUGGCGACACAUAGCGUUUUUGUUUUGUUUUUUAAAGCCGAGAAAUGCGCAGUGUUUGAUAGCUUGCUGCGAGACCUCACACCGUGCACAUCUACUGCGGGUGUGGUGCCUGUUAUCGGACACGGAGUUAGCAACAUCCCCGAAAAACCCGAAGAGGAGAGUCCUGGCCCCUAGCCCUGUCAGCGUAGCAGAAAUGAUGAUGGCAGCAGCAGCCGUUCUCCUCUGCCUUUUCACCUACGCAAAUCAAGCCUCGGUCUUCAGACGUGAAGACAUCUACCAGAGUCUCAAUCCAGUCAGCAGGGAUCGUAACCAGCUCUAUUCUACACUCGUGCCCAAUUAGGAUGUGCAGUUUUUGAAUUUUUAAGUGUGCACAGUGUAAUUGGUUUUUUUGGUUUUUUUUGGAGUUAAUCUUGGAAGAAUUAAGCUUGUCAUGUAGCCAUGACACAGUCUGACCCAAGACGGUAUACAUUUCCUGUGAGUAAUCCUUCCUUCCUUCCUGUGUUUAUUUCAGGAGUUAGAGCUCAAUAUAAGGGUUAAGUCUAAAGUCUGCACAUUUAACCUCAUUGCAUAUUACUCACCACAUUAUGAUUUAAAAUUUUUGAUGUCAUAAAAAGCAUUUGUAUCAUAAAACAAGUGAACAGAUUUUUUUUUUUUCACAUUUUUACACCUGUAAUUUUCUGUUCAAUAAAAGAACGUUUUGAUCUCAUAUGGCUGGAAUUUGCUCACUUGGGGAAAAAAUAUAAACUGAUUAAAAAAAAAACAUCCUAAAAUUGUUGUAUUUUAAAUGUUUUUAUGUUAACGAAC